ACGAAUAUACAAGUAAAUAACUACAGAUUAUUUUAAAAUAAAAGACUACAGAGGAGAGUUUCCUGUUAAAAUAAAAAUAAAUAAAAAAUAAAAUAAAAAUUCUUACAGGAUUCAAUCCAAGCUUUUGUUGUUCCAGGACUGUCCUGCGCGUUGCUGUCUGUCAGCGCCCUUCUUGCUGAGAACUACAGAGUGUGUUUUGAAGACAAUAAGUGCUCUAUUUCUAAGAAUGGACAGCACCUAGUCAGUGUUGAAUGUAAAGACAGGUUGUUUGUAUUGAAUGCUUCUUUUGCAGGUCCAGGUGACACGGAGGAGGCUCAAGCACAGUGUGCCAACGUUCCAGUUCAUGAUGCGUGUGCUCACCUCUGGCACAGACGCAUGGCACACGUGUCCUGGGGGUUAGUGGAAAAGAUCCCAGAGUGUACGCAAGGGUGCAAAAUGAAAUCAUGUGCUAAGUUUCUAGAUUGCAGAGCGUGCAAGUCCGCAAAGGUGAAAACGUGCACAUACCCUAGGUCUGAGAGGGUGACCACUAGGGCUUUUCAGUUAAUUCAUGCAGAUUUGUCUGGUCCGAUGUCUGUGACCAGUAUGGGAGGAGCCAAAUUUGCGCUGGUUCUGAUUGAUGACCAUACGCGCAACUCCUGGACCUUCACAAUCCGACACAAAAAUGAAGCUGCACCGCUAAUCAAAGACUGGAUUGCGGCUGUGGAACUGCAGUUUUCCACACGGGUGCAAAACUUUCAGAGCGACCGCGGUGGGGAGUUCACCGGGUCUGCACUGCAAAGUUUCUUCCGCAAAAAGGGGUGGAGGUUUGCGUAUCCAUCAGGGAAUCAGUCCAGGAUUCUGCUCAGCAACAGUGCUGAAUUCUGUGAGCAGAGUGGCUGGGCAAGGAUACGUGGGAACCCUGACAUCCUGUCAGAGAGUCUGCUUGACUCUGCUGAUGAAGAAGAGGAAGAGGUUGAACCUGCUACUGAGGCUCAGAGUCCAGACCCAGUACAGGCAGAGGGGAGAACUUCUCCCAAGGCUGUGAAGAUUGAGCAACGCAGUGCUCCAUCUUCCCCCACAGGUUCGGCUGAGAAGUCCAGAAGGCGCAGUAAGUCAGAGGGGGAGCUCUCUGAUGGCAAGGACGUUCUGGCUGGCCCUAGUGAGUCAGAGGGGGUUCCUGAAGUAGUGCUGCAUCGAUCAGCUCGGAUGACCAAGGGGAAACCUCCUGAUAGGUUUGCCGUCACUAGCGUGUGGGUCGGAAUGGCACAGUGUGAACCCGAGAGUUUUGAGGAUGUUCAGAAACUGCCUCAGGAAGAAGCCAGAAAAUGGCAUAAGGCGAUGCAGAAGGAAAUGAACUCAAUGGAGUCGCUAGGUGUGUUCUCCCUCACGAAGUUGCCGGUGGGCAAAAAGGCCGUGGGUAGCCGCUGGGUUUACCGUCUUAAGCCCACAGCGACAGGAGAACCGCAGUAUAAGGCCAGAUUAGUGGCGAGAGGAUUCACGCAGCGCAGGGGGUUGCAUUAUACGGAAGUUUAUGCUCCCACCUGUAGGAGUGAAUCUCUACGUUUGCUCUUGGCCAUUGCUGCACAAAGAGGGUUGCUGGUGCAUCACUUUGAUGUGGAUGUUGCUUACUUGAACUCAGACCUCCAGGAGGAUCUGUACAUGCUUCCUCCUCCAGGGUUUGAGGGCAAUGAGCAAGGUACUGUGUGGAAACUUCACAGGUCAAUUUAUGGCCUGAAGCAGUCGGCCAGGAAUUGGAACUUGUGCCUGAAUGAAGCUUUGGAGAAGCUAGGUUUCAGGAAGAGUCUUGCUGACAGUUGCCUGUUCCUUAGAGGAUCAGGAGACUCACAGGAACUGGUUUUGUUUUAUGUUGAUGACAUCAUCCAUAUUGGAAAGGCAGACAAACAGGUGCAGAAGUUUGCCAAAGAGCUUGGGAAACGAUUUCAGCUCAAGAACCUGGGUGCAGUAAAGAUCUACCUAGGUGUCCAGAUAGCGAGAACUGAGGAUGGUAGCUUCUUGCUCAGUCAGAAAGGCAAGAUUGAGCAGUUGCUUGAGAAGUUCAGAAUGUCCGAUUGUGCAGGAGUUCGGACACCCAUGGAGACGAACUUCGUGAAAGAGAGCCAGCAAGCAGAAAGUGCAGAGUUCGAGAAUGCUGAGCUCUUUCAGUCAGCUCUAGGUAGUCUGUUGUAUCUAUCCCAAUGGAGCAGACCAGACAUUGCCUUUGCUACCAACCUGCUAAGUAGGGAAGCGUCAAAGCCCAGUGUGAGUGCUUGGCACGGUAUCAAGCGGGUACUGCGCUACCUGCAGCAUACCAAAGACUUCUGUCUUAAGCUGCCAGCUGAAGGUGAGGCGAAGCUCACAUGCUAUGCGGACAGUGACUGGGCGAAUUCGCAGGACCGCAAGUCUGUGUCUGGAUUGGUGGUAAAGUUUGGGAAGUCACUAAUUGGGUGGAAGUCUCGGAAGCAAAGUCUCAUUGCGCUGUCUUCUACUGAAGCUGAAUUCAGUGCACUGUCAGAUUUGUGCCGGGAACUAGAGUUCUAUAGAUGCUUGGUGCAAGAGAUCUAUGGGGAUUGUAGCUUGCCCAUCACGGUUUGGGAAUACAAUCAACCUUGUUUGAAAUUGGCUGAAUCUGCGCAAUUUAAGGCCAGAACCAAGCAUCUGGACAUACGUUUCCAAAAUGUGUGUCAGAGUGUUCAGUCAGGUUUGAUACGGCUGAAGUAUUGUGCCAGUCACAAUAACUUGGCCGAUGGAUUUACCAAACCUUUAAGCUUCCAGCGUCAUGGGGAGUUUUGUGAUGGUUUGGAGUUGGGGGUAAGUUCUGUACAUACUUUCCCCACAGUAACGCAGGACGAGAGGGGGUGUGAGGAGAACCUGAGCUUACAGGGUUAAACAGCUCAGAGUGUACGCCCUGCCUACUGUUGGGAGGGGGGAGACUCUGCAUCAUUUCCGAGUCUCUCAAGUCUUUGUUCUCUCUACUUUCGCUUUUGAGGAGAGUGGACGUGUUUUCACGAUGCUGUUCGACAAUGGAUAGUCUGCUUUAAAUAAAACUGCUUUUAGCUGCUAAGAUCCUGAGUGGACUUUAUUUAGCACACUGAAGAAAGUACUGAAGCUUACAGCUUUCUCUUACCGCUGCUGAUCUCUGCGUUUUGCUCAGAGCAUCGGAAUGUGGCCUUUGAAGUCCGAGGCCGGGCGAGGGUCUGCACAGCCGAAGCGGGCUGGACGCCAAGAUUUAUCUGAGCAAUAAAUCAAUCACCUUUAACAGAUUUAUUGUUUUUAAACAUGGAAGAAUGGUUGGAUUUUUUGGGGGGGAGAUAAUGUCAUCAUAC
This is a long non-coding RNA of Podarcis muralis (Common wall lizard), 3302 nucleotides long. The record is from Ensembl. Lineage: Eukaryota; Metazoa; Chordata; Lepidosauria; Squamata; Lacertidae.